GGGAGAGGUGGCUGAGUGGUUUAAAGCGGUAGAUUGCUAAUCUGUUGUACGUACUUUAUAACGUACCGAGGGUUCGAAUCCCUCUCUCUCCUA
RNAcentral lists this transfer RNA (93 nucleotides) under Liagora harveyana. RNAcentral describes it as "tRNA-Ser". It matches the Rfam family "tRNA". From Rfam's summary of the family: Transfer RNA (tRNA) molecules are approximately 80 nucleotides in length. Their secondary structure includes four short double-helical elements and three loops (D, anti-codon, and T loops). The record is from RNAcentral. Lineage: Eukaryota; Rhodophyta; Florideophyceae; Nemaliales; Liagoraceae.